This 3629-nucleotide long non-coding RNA is filed under the name Homo sapiens (human). RNAcentral's name for it is "cancer susceptibility 15". The record is from RNAcentral. Lineage: Eukaryota; Metazoa; Chordata; Mammalia; Primates; Hominidae.
UUUUUUUUUUUUUUUUUUUUGAAAUUUGAUUUUAACUCUUGCUUUUUUUUAUGGUUUGUGUCUGUUUUUUCCACCCCCGCUGGCGCCGAGCUGCGCUGUUUUGUGUUUCUUUUUUUUUUUUUUUUUCUAUUUUUUUUUUUUAAAUUCUGAAGCCAGACCGUCUUUCCUCACAGCUCCACGGCUGCAUCUCCGUGGGCACGCAAGCUUCCCCUGGUUACCUGAGCUGCUCCUGCCGUCUCCCGCCUGGGCUUCGCCGUGGUGCACCCGAUCCCGGAAUCGUGCGUCUGCGCCCUGCGAAAGAAGGACCUGCUGGCGGAGCUCCGGCCGGGGUCUCCUGCCUCGCAGCUGGGCGAGGGGACUUGGAGGACAGGGUGAAGCUGCAGAAGACCUGGGGUGGGAUGGCUAGAGAGGACGCCAAGGACUGGGGAAGGGGAAGUUAGGAAUACCUUACAUCCAAUGCCCACCCGUGCUCCGCAGGGCAAGGGCAGCCGUCGCCUCGGCCGCGUGCACCCAGCUCAGGCUGUUCCCAGGGAUUUAGUCUGGGGGGACAACCCAUGGCGAGAUGUGGUGGCAUUUUACCUCAGAGUGGAGCUGAAGAUGGAUAAACAAGGUAUCUGAUGUAUCUGCCUGAGAAGGCAGAGCUGGAGAAAGGCGGAGCGAGGGAGCGCGUGAAAAGAAAGAGAUGCCGAAUGCCGGGUGAUUGUCUGCCGCUUGCUGUGCAUUCUCAUUCUAGGGAGGAUGGCAUAAUUUAUAACCCAGCACAUGGAUAGAGGAACUGUAAAUUGUAGUCUGGAUGUCCCCGGCGCUGUCGACGAAGGAACUGAUGGGCUAGGCUCACAGGCAGAAGGAAUUUUCCUUGUCUUGGAUGAGACUUUUGACUUGGACUUUUGGGUUAAGGAUUUACAGAAAGCGUGGUGCUGGCAUCUGAUCAGCUUCUGGGGUGGCCUCAGGAAGCUUACAAUCAUGGUGGCAUUUGAAGUGGAAGCGAGAGAGAGAAGAGGAGAUGCAACACACUUUUAAACAAGAUUUCAGGAGAACUCAUUCACUAUGUUCUGGAGACCAGAAGGCCAAAAUCAAAAGUAUGGGCAGGCUUGAUUUCUUUAGAAGACUCCAGCGGAGAACUGUGUCUCCUUGCUUCUGAUUCUACAUCUCCAUCCAUGGGCCACUGUUUCAGCAACCUCAGCCAGUGCAACACAACCUCAGCCAAGAAGAGUAUGCAGAGAAAGGAGUCCCCUACCUGCCACAAAACUGUUGUCUGAAAACUGUCUCAUAUUGUCUCAAGUUGUCAUUCAUUGUGAAUUAGACCUGUUUAACAUGUAAUCUGCAACAUGCUUCACUGUCUAAUUUUCCAGAGCCCCUCAUAUAAGGAACUGUAUUAUUGGUAUAAUCAUCAUGGUGAAGAAGUUGGUAUGUGGGGGAGAGAUGACAGAAACAGAGAGUAAGUCAGAGCUGGCUGCCUGACAGAUAAAAAGGAAAUGACCAAAAAAAAAAAAAAAGACACAGAAGAAUACUUUGUUGUCCACACAGAAAAGGGAAGUGUAGGUAAGACAGCAGUAGACUAAGAUUCUUAAGACUCAAGUUCUAGUCUUAUUUAUUAGCUAUGGGAGGCCUUGAGGGAGUUCUAGAAUUAAGUGAUCUCUCUUUAUAAAAUAGGAACAGUAAUAACUUCCUGGCUAACUCCCUGGCUGUCUCACAAUGCUGUAGUAGUAAGAAAUAAUUUUAUAAUUAAAGACUAUUUUAGGGCUGAUUACAUUUUUGGGCAGUGGCUCAUACAUGUAAUUUCAACAUUUUGGGAGGCCAAGGUGGGCGGAUUGCUUGAGCCCAGGAAUUCAAGACCAGGCUGGGCAACACAGACCUUGUCACUACAAAAGAAAAAAACAUUAGCUAGGCGUGGUGAUGUAUGCCUGUGGUCCCAGCUACUCAGGAAGCUGAGACAGGAGGAUCACCUGAGCCUGGGAGGUCGAGGCUACAGUGAGCCAUGAUCACACUACUGCACUCCAGCCUGGGAAACAGAGUGAGACUCUGUCUCAAAAAAAAAAAAAAAGGAAUAUUUUACACUUCAAGGUUCUAUACAAAUGUAAAAUAUCAUUCUAUUACUUAUUUAUAAUGCUGAUUAUUCUUUAAAUGACUUUAAAAUGUUAAUCUCUGCUUGAGCCUACGGAGAAGUAUGUAACAAAUUUGUGAAGGAUUGGCAUUAAACAUAGUCAAAAUAAAACAUAGAAAUUAUGGUAAAUAAUUUAACUGGUAAAAUAAUCUAAGUGGUAGUUCUCAGGUAAGUGGAAAUUCGAUUAGCUGAUUGUUUAGGAUUCUUGGUUAUAAGUGACAGAGACCUGACUAAAAGUACAUGAAGCACAUAACUGAGAAGGUUGUGGUAUGGCUCAGCAGAAAUGGGAAAAUCUUGGGACUGGUUCGUGUUUUAUUUACAUUAUCUUUGUUCCCAGGCAGUCUCUGCAUGUAAGUGGCAAAGAUGACUGUCUGAAAAUAUAUACCUACUUUUUUAAAGGGCUAUCUCAAGCCAUUCUGGAGAAGCACCAAAAGCCACUUUGCUUAUACUGGGAGAAUAGUUUGCUUUCCCUAAUUUGUGAUGAGUGAAACACUGAACAGAGACAUAGAAUAAUAUUCUGUAGUUCAGGGUUGGUGUAAUAUGGCCAGUGGGCGGAAUCUGGUCCUCAGACUGAUUUUGCAAAUAAUCUUAUAGAAACACAGCAACACCCAUUCAUUACAUGUUGUUUAUGGUUGCUUUGGGGUUACAAUGGCAGAGUUGAGUAGUUGUGACAGAGAUCACUAGGCUCACCACAUCUGAGAUAUGUACUGACUGACCCUGUACAGAAAGUUUGCUGCUCUUAGAGGAAUGUGUGUUUCUAGUGUCAGCAAUAAACUUCUUGGAUUUGUUUUGUUUUCUCAUCUUUACAUGAUAGUUGCAGACUAGUUGAUCCUUGUGACCUGUUUUUGAAUGCCACUGUGUAUUCUGUCAGGGCCCUCUGAUUCUGUUUCUUAUGGUGCUGAAUGCACAAUUUAAUGCCCUGGAAUUUCCUUCUGUCUUCUGCUAAACUCAUGCCUCUUCAGAUAGUUAAAAUCCUGUUCUACCUUAGAAGUCUCCAGAGUUAUUUUCCUAAAUUAAGAAGAACUGGCUUUGAAGUUACUCAUUAUGCCACACACAAUGGUUGAAAAGAGCAUCUCUUAUGUACUGUGUAUAUUUCAGCAUCCACUCAGCUUCUUAGGUAGAAAAGGAAGAGUCUUCCACAGUGUAUUUUAUCCAUAUUUGGGUCAGAAACUCUUCUUUACCACGGAGCGUGAUGGAAGAAAGAUAUGGGAUGGUAACAGUAGGCCAGGGAUGUAAUAAUCACAAAAUUUGAGAUAUUUUGUGACUGGUGACUCACGCCUGUGAUCCCAGCAUUUUGGGAGGCCAAAGCGGGCGGAUCACCUGAGGUCAGGAGUUCAAGACCAGCUUGGCCAAUGUAGUGAAACCUCAUCUCUACUAAAAAAAUAUAAAAAUUAGCUGGGUGUGGUGGUGCACACCUGUAAUCCUAGCUACUCAGGAGGCUGAGGCAGGAGAAUAGCUUGAACCAAGGAGGUGGAGGUUGCAGUGAGCUGAGAUUGUGCCACCACUGCAUUCCAGUCUGGGUGAC